AGUCGAACGCGAAAUUUUUCUUCGGAAAGAGAGUAGAGUGGCGCACGGGUGAGUAACGCGUAAGUUAUCUACCUCGGCAUCUGGAAUAACUCACCGAAAGGUGUGCUAAUACCGGAUACGUUGAGUAAUCAAGAAAGGUGGCCUCUGAAUAUGCUACUGUGCUGAGAUGAGCUUGCGUACCAUUAGCUAGUUGGUAGGGUAAUGGCCUACCAAGGCAACGAUGGUUAGCGGGUCUGAGAGGAUGAUCCGCCACACUGGAACUGGAACACGGACCAGACUCCUACGGGAGGCAGCAGUGAGGAAUAUUGCGCAAUGGGGGAAACCCUGACGCAGCGACGCCGCGUGGAUGAUGAAGGCCUUCGGGUCGUAAAAUCCUGUCAAGUGGAAAGAAGUGCAUGGUGGCUAAUACCUGCUGUGCUUGACGGUACCACUGAAGGAAGCACCGGCUAACUCCGUGCCAGCAGCCGCGGUAAUACGGAGGGUGCAAGCGUUGUUCGGAAUUACUGGGCGUAAAGCGCGCGUAGGCGGUUUUAUAAGUCAGAUGUGAAAGCCCUCGGCUCAACCGGGGACGUGCAUUUGAAACUGUGAGACUUGAGUAUUGGAGGGGGUGGUGGAAUUCCCGGUGUAGAGGUGAAAUUCGUAGAUAUCGGGAGGAAUACCAGUGGCGAAGGCGACCACCUGGCCAAAUACUGACGCUAAGGUGCGAAAGCGUGGGGAGCAAACAGGAUUAGAUACCCUGGUAGUCCACGCCGUANACGAUGUCAACUAGGUGUUGGGACGGUUUAUCGUCUCAUUGCCGCAGCUAACGCAUUAAGUUGACCGCCUGGGGA
This 830-nucleotide ribosomal RNA is filed under the name uncultured bacterium. RNAcentral's name for it is "SSU rRNA". It matches the Rfam family "Bacterial small subunit ribosomal RNA", at positions 60 to 879 of the family's 1533-position model. The record is from RNAcentral.